GGUCCCGUGCGAUUUCGGGCUGUGAACCCUGUCAGGUCCGGAAGGAAGCAGCAGUAAGCGGUUUACGGAGUGCGCCGCGGGUUUGC
This 86-nucleotide signal recognition particle RNA is filed under the name uncultured Saccharofermentans sp. Its description in RNAcentral is "Bacterial small signal recognition particle RNA". It matches the Rfam family "Bacterial small signal recognition particle RNA". From Rfam's summary of the family: The signal recognition particle (SRP) is a universally conserved ribonucleoprotein involved in the co-translational targeting of proteins to membranes. Archaeal SRP consists of a 7S RNA and homologues of the eukaryotic SRP19 and SRP54 proteins. In most bacteria, the SRP consists of a 4.5S RNA and the Ffh protein (a homologue of the eukaryotic SRP54 protein). Lineage: Bacteria; Bacillati; Bacillota; Clostridia; Eubacteriales; Oscillospiraceae. The record is from RNAcentral.